CUAAGCCAUGCGAGUCGAGAGGGUUCGGCCCUCGGCGGACUGCUCAGUAACACGUGGAUAAUUUGCCCUUAGGUGGAGGAUAAUCUCGGGAAACUGAGAAUAAUACUCCAUAGAUCUAGGAUGCUGGAAUGCACUUAGAUUGAAAGUUCCGGCGCCUAAGGAUAAGUCUGCGGACUAUCAGGUUGUAGUCAGGGUAAAGACCUGACUAGCCUACAACGGAUACGGGUUGUGAGAGCAAUAACCCGGAGACGAUAUCUGAGACACGAUAUCGGGCCCUACGGGGCGCAGCAGGCGCGAAACCUUCACACUGCGCGAAAGCGCGAUAAGGGGAUCCCAAGUGCCAGCUCGUAAGAGUUGGCUGUUUCUCUGUCUAAAAAGCAGAGAGAGUAAGGGCUGGGUUAGACGGGUGCCAGCCGGCGCGGGUAA
RNAcentral lists this ribosomal RNA (426 nucleotides) under uncultured archaeon. RNAcentral describes it as "bacterial SSU rRNA". It matches the Rfam family "Archaeal small subunit ribosomal RNA", at positions 44 to 474 of the family's 1478-position model. The record is from RNAcentral.